AACGAACGCUGGCGGCAUGCCUAACACAUGCAAGUCGAACGAACCCUUCGGGGUUAGUGGCGCACGGGUGCGUAACGCGUGGGAAUCUGCCCUUUGCUUCGGAAUAACUCAGGGAAACUUGUGCUAAUACCGGAUGAUGUCUUCGGACCAAAGAUUUAUCGGCAAGGGAUGAGCCCGCGUAGGAUUAGGUAGUUGGUGGGGUAAAGGCCUACCAAGCCGACGAUCCUUAGCUGGUCUGAGAGGAUGAUCAGCCACACUGGGACUGAGACACGGCCCAGACUAUUACGGGAGGGGGCAGUGGGGAAUAUUGGACAAUGGGCGCAAGCCUGAUCCAGCAAUGCCGCGUGAGUGAUGAAGGCCCUCGGGUCGUAAAGCUCUUUUACCAGGGAUGAUAAUGACAGUACCUGGAGAAUAAGCUCCGGCUAACUCCGUG
Molecule: ribosomal RNA, 433 nt
Filed under: uncultured bacterium
Lineage: Bacteria
Description: partial 16S ribosomal RNA
Rfam family: Bacterial small subunit ribosomal RNA
Source: RNAcentral